RNAcentral lists this ribosomal RNA (460 nucleotides) under uncultured bacterium. RNAcentral's name for it is "partial 16S ribosomal RNA". It matches the Rfam family "Bacterial small subunit ribosomal RNA", at positions 338 to 795 of the family's 1533-position model. The record is from RNAcentral.
CCUACGGGUGACAGCAGUGAGGAAUAUUGGUCAAUGGGCGCGAGCCUGAACCCGCCAAGUAGCGUGAAGGCUGACUGCCCUACGGUUUGUACACUUCUUUUAUAAAGGAAUAAAGUGAGGCACGUGUGCAUUUUUGCAUGUACUUUAUGCAUAAGGAUCGGCUAACUCCGUGCCAGCAGCCGCGGUAAUACGGAGGAUCCGAGCGUUAUCCGGAUUUAUUGGGUUUAAAGGGAGCGUAGAUGGUUUGUUAAGUCAGUUGUGAAAGUUUGCGGCUCAACCGUAAAAUUGCAAUUGAUACUGGCAGUCGUGAGUACAGUUGAGGUAGGCGGAAUUCGUGGUGUAGCGGUGAAAUGCUUAGAUAUCACGAAGAACUCCGAUUGCGAAGGCAGCUUACUAAACUGCCACUGACAUUGAUGCUCGAAAGUGUGGGUAUCAAACAGGAUUAGAUACCCGAGUAGUC